RNAcentral lists this ribosomal RNA (253 nucleotides) under uncultured bacterium. Its description in RNAcentral is "partial 16S ribosomal RNA". It matches the Rfam family "Bacterial small subunit ribosomal RNA", at positions 524 to 776 of the family's 1533-position model. The record is from RNAcentral.
UACGUAGGGCGCAAGCGUUAUCCGGAAUUAUUGGGCGUAAAGAGCUCGUAGGCGGUUUGUCGCGUCUGCCGUGAAAGUCCGGGGCUCAACUCCGGAUCUGCGGUGGGUACGGGCAGACUAGAGUGAUGUAGGGGAGACUGGAAUUCCUGGUGUAGCGGUGAAAUGCGCAGAUAUCAGGAGGAACACCGAUGGCGAAGGCAGCACUCUGGGACGGUACUGACGCUGAGACGCGAAAGCGUGGGGAGCGAACAGG